This is a non-coding RNA of Phrynosoma platyrhinos (Desert horned lizard), 72 nucleotides long. The record is from the annotation of a GenBank genome assembly. Lineage: Eukaryota; Metazoa; Chordata; Lepidosauria; Squamata; Phrynosomatidae.
GCCAGAUUGGUGUAGUGGUUUGCAUGUUGGAUUAUGACUCUGGAUAUCAGGGUUUGAAUCCCAGUUCAGCCA